Molecule: non-coding RNA, 426 nt
Organism: Odocoileus virginianus texanus
Lineage: Eukaryota; Metazoa; Chordata; Mammalia; Artiodactyla; Cervidae
Source: RefSeq, a predicted model, not a curated record
UUGACAUCUUUUUCUCCUCAGGCUGAACUGCUGUCUGCCGUGACGAGUGACUUCGAUUUCACUGUGUAAAGAAAAAGACCCAGCAGAAGCUGACUCAUAUGACAAUUAUCGUUUGUUGGAGGUGAUGGGAAGGAUUAACUGAGUUGGAAAUAUCCCACAUCAGGGAAUCUUCCUGGGAAGACACAUUAAGAAAAUGCAGUGCUGAGGAAGAUCCUGGCCUCUGAGUAUAUAAUGGAGUAAAAUUCUUCUCCUUCUUGAAUAUGUCUGCCUUAGUGACUUGUUUAUGAGGAGUAUAAUGUGGCAGGGUGCUACUGGGAUUGUUCUGCAAAAGCAGCGCGGCUUCUGCUCGGCUCCUUAUCCUCAGGAGAACGUACCUCCCCGGGAGUCCUGACGUGUGAGAGGCCUGCCUAUCCAGAAGCAGCCAUG